GUGCUCACUUCGGCAGCACUUAUACUAAAAUUGGAAUGAUACAAGAAAGAUUAGCAUGGCCCCUGCACAAGGAUGACAUGCAAAUUAAUGAAGUGUUCCAUAUUUUU
This is a small nuclear RNA of Hippopotamus amphibius kiboko, 107 nucleotides long. The record is from RefSeq and is a predicted model, not a curated record. Lineage: Eukaryota; Metazoa; Chordata; Mammalia; Artiodactyla; Hippopotamidae.